RNAcentral lists this transfer RNA (92 nucleotides) under Bacteroides xylanisolvens. RNAcentral describes it as "tRNA-Ser(gct)". It matches the Rfam family "tRNA". From Rfam's summary of the family: Transfer RNA (tRNA) molecules are approximately 80 nucleotides in length. Lineage: Bacteria; Pseudomonadati; Bacteroidota; Bacteroidia; Bacteroidales; Bacteroidaceae. The record is from RNAcentral. RNAcentral also lists the same sequence under 3 other names.
GGAGUGAUACUCAAGUGGCUGAAGAGGACGGUUUGCUAAAUCGUUAGACCGGUUAUACCGGUGCGGGAGUUCGAAUCUCCCUCACUCCGCCA